Molecule: ribosomal RNA, 159 nt
Filed under: Phytophthora capsici
Lineage: Eukaryota; Oomycota; Peronosporomycetes; Peronosporales; Peronosporaceae
Description: 5.8S rRNA
Rfam family: 5.8S ribosomal RNA
About the family: 5.8S ribosomal RNA (5.8S rRNA) is a component of the large subunit of the eukaryotic ribosome. It is transcribed by RNA polymerase I as part of the 45S precursor that also contains 18S and 28S rRNA.
Source: RNAcentral
CAACUUUCAGCAGUGGAUGUCUAGGCUCGCACAUCGAUGAAGAACGCUGCGAACUGCGAUACGUAAUGCGAAUUGCAGGAUUCAGUGAGUCAUCGAAAUUUUGAACGCAUAUUGCACUUCCGGGUCAGUCCUGGGAGUAUGCCUGUAUCAGUGUCCGUA